UUAAAAGUCUAAUCUGCCCAAUGAUUUACAAUUAAAUGGCCGCGGUAAAUUGACCGUGCAAAGGUAGCAUAAUAAAUAGUCUUUUAAUUGAAGGCUUGAAUGAAUGAUUGGAUGAGAAAUUAGCUUAAUUAAUAUUAAUAAUUGAAAUUGAUUUUUAAGUAAAAAAGCUUAAAUAUAUAAGUGGGACGAGAAGACCCUAUAGAAUUUUUAAAAUUUUUUUAGAUUUGUUUAUUUUAGUUAAUUAAUUUUUUAUUAUUUAAAUAAUUUUUUUGUUGGGGUGACAUUAAAAUGAAAUUAACUUUUAAUUAAAAUUUCAUAAAUAUAUGUAAAUAUUGAUCCAAAAUUUUUGAUUAUAAGAAUAAAUUACCUUAGGGAUAACAGCGUUAUUAAUUUGAAGAGUUCUUAUCGAUAAAUAAGAUUGCGACCUCGAUGUUGGAUUAAAAAUAGAAAUUGGAGCAAAAUUUUUUAUUUCUGGGUCUGUUCGACCCUUAAUAU
Molecule: ribosomal RNA, 495 nt
Filed under: Amphipsalta cingulata (clapping cicada)
Lineage: Eukaryota; Metazoa; Arthropoda; Insecta; Hemiptera; Cicadidae
Description: partial large subunit ribosomal RNA
Source: RNAcentral